AACGAACGCUGGCGGCAGGCCUAACACAUGCAAGUCGAACGCCCCGCAAGGGGAGUGGCAGACGGGUGAGUAACGCGUGGGAACGUGCCCUUCGGUUCGGAAUAACUCAGGGAAACUUGAGCUAAUACCGGAUACGUCCGUAAGGAGAAAGAUUUAUCGCCGAAGGAUCGGCCCGCGUCGGAUUAGCUAGUUGGUGAGGUAACGGCCCACCAAGGCGACGAUCCGUAGCUGGUCUGAGAGGAUGANCAGCCACACUGGGACUGAGACACGGCCCAGACUCCUACGGGAGGCAGCAGUGGGGAAUAUUGGACAAUGGGCGAAAGCCUGAUCCAGCCAUGCCGCGUGAGUGAAGAAGGCCUUAGGGUUGUAAAGCUCUUUCAGCGGGGAAGAUAAUGACGGUACCCGCAGAAGAAG
Molecule: ribosomal RNA, 414 nt
Filed under: uncultured bacterium
Lineage: Bacteria
Description: bacterial SSU rRNA
Rfam family: Bacterial small subunit ribosomal RNA
Source: RNAcentral